AUUUCAUAGUGUGUCUAGCAUACACACUGUCUCCCCAGGAGCUUUACUAAGUUACAUUAUACAGUUACAGAGAAGCAGGGGGAAGAGAGGAAUCCAGAGGUACAGACAUGGGAGAAGAGCUGUAGGUAUUUAUUUGACUAGUGUUUCUGUGCAGCACCCCUGGAAGAAACAGAACUGCUCAGCGAUGAGCCAUUGCCUUUACUACUAACAUCUAACAGAGCGGGGAGGUAGGGGCUUGGGCCUGGAGCAGCAGGAUCUGCGUUCUAGCCCUGCUGCUCAGCAUGGCUGGAGUGUGCAAUGUAAUAACCAGUGCGAUCUUCCAAGGCGGACACAGGUUUGUUACCCGGUGAGAUCUGUAAAGUAAUGGAGACGGCUGAAGCAAUCAGCACAAAGGCCUCUGGGAGAGGAGAGAGGGAAGGAAAUGAAAAGGUAUUUCAGAUCAGGGCAGAUUAACGUGGGAUCCCUAGGAUCUGGCUCCACAUUCAGAGUGGGCAUCUGGGAGGCGCAGAGUAGCAGACAACAGCACAGCCAGUGGCUGUGGGCCUGCUGGAGUGGUCUGGGCUGCCCCUCUUGGGAGAAAGAUCCAAGACUGGACUGGAAAGGGCCAGGGGGAGUGUCUGGGAUGGGGGCAAAACAGAAAGACAUCAGCUCCUUCUAGUCUGGAUUGUGGUAUGGUGCAGAAAAGGGUUUCAGCAUCCCUUGAGUUUGCAUAAAAUGCAAGUCUGUGCUUCUGAGCUCCCACUCCAGUCUCCAACUACCAGCAGCCCUGAACGGACUGGGAUCUGGGGAAGGGGAAGUGGAGCACAUUUAAAGGCCAGUCUGUUAAAGAAUUCCUUUUCCCAGUUCCCAGAACUCUUUCCCAGUUCCUUUUUUAUCCCCGCAGCUGUCCGGUACAAAUGUCGCCCAGGACAGCUACCAAGACUAUGAUCGACUGGGGAGGGGAGUCAAAGAUUUUGCAUAGUGUAGAUUUAUAUUCCUGAGCUUCAACAUCAGCUAUUUUUUGCCCAAGCGAGAAGGCGCUCUCUGGAGACUCAUCAAAGCAUGUGUUUAAAUGAAUAAAGACUUUAUCAAAGCAUGUGUUUAAGUGAAUAAUAAAUGAUAUAAAGGGUUUUUAUUGAUCCAGCCCUGCUGCCUCAGAAGCAGCAGUGCCGAGGGACGGCUGCUGUAUUGGGACCACCCCCUCCUUCCACAAAUCAGGUAGCAAUCCCACCCAUUUUGUCCGGUCUCCAGGAGCCAUUCCAUGUUAGUUAUGACUUGAUUAUUACAGCAGUGUCUUCAGGUUAUUACUGUAAACACAGUCACUCUGCUGAAGAGCAGCAAAAGUUAGGGGUAGGGUGACCAGAUAGCAACUGUGAAAAAACAGGACAGGAGGUGGGGGUAAUCGGCGCCGAUAUAAGAAAAAGUCCCAAAAACCAGGACUGUCCCUUUAAAAAUGGGACAUCUGGUCACCCUAGUUAGGGGAAAGGAACCCAUCAUACAAGCAGAUGAGUGCUCUGCAGUCCCUUUGAUUAGGACAACAGCAAGUACAAACCUUUUUAUGGCUCAGGAUCUCCAGUACCUCCUUAGUCUUGUUGCAGGCACCUUCCCUUCCCUUUCUUUUCCUUCCCAUUUUAGGUCUUUCCAAAACCUGCCACAACCCAGGAGCAGGGAAAAAGCCCCUUGGUCACCCUCACCUUCCGUCCCUCGCUCCUUUCAUCAGCGAUUUCUCAAUGCUUAGGGGGAAUCUUAACUACUGAGUCCCCUUGGGGAAGGCUUCGAUUGACCGGGCACUGGGACCACCCUUCCGUCAGUAGUGGCACCUCCACAGGUGCUGUGGAACGGAGUGUGACCAAAGGCACCCCGUAUUCAUGCCCUACACAAUACUGUAAUCAUCUUUGUACAAAAUAUGCCUUGUGUGGCAUCAUUUGAAAAAUAGUAAUUUACUGGUCAAUCCUAUCAUGAUGAAAUGUGUGUAGCAACAUUAUAUAUAAAGUUAUGAAUUCCCUCUAACUGAUGUUGGUAGCUCAUGUUCAAACCCAUGUAGCCCUGAUUAGGCAGGACUGGUCAAGCAGGUCUUAAACAAAGGAGUGUGUGUUUACUUCAAUUUAUAUAUAAGUUGUAAACAGGGUCCUCAGACAGUGAGAGGCGGAAGACAGCGGACAAGGAAAAUCUGUAUUUCAGCAAACAGGUGAGAAGGAAUAGCAUACAUCCCUUUUCACUGCCUGAUGCCAUAUUGCCUUCUUUACUGUUUGAAUAAACUUUGUUUUGUAAUCUUCAGGAAAAUGCAUCUCAAAGGGGAACUGGACUAUACAAGUGAGGGGCAAAACCACCCCAAGUUCUCUCUCCCUAUCUUUCUCUUUCUUUUCGCCAAGCAAGACAAAAGAAACAGCUGUUGGACUUUGGGAGCAGAUCUUAACCUGAGAAUUUGGUCAGUGAUGUUACUGGAAACGUGUGUCACAGAAGAAUGCUGAUCUGCCCCUCACCACCGCCAUGGAUGUGUUUUAAAGCAAGUAAACCAGCAUCAUCACUCAUAGAAACAGCUUUGCAUUUCAAUGGCACUUUGCAUGUCAUUGAAUAUCCCAGAGUGCAUCUGCUAAUGUACACUCUGAUAUCCAUCAUCGCCAGUGGUGAGAGUGAGAAGGGUCUGUGUCUGCAGCAGGCUUCACACCCCAGUGCAAUCACCAAUCCUUCUCCAGCCAGAAGAGAGGAACCGUUUGCUUUGUUCCUCCACUGCACAGAGCUCUUCAAAGGCAGACCUGUAGCUGACAGCACAGGCUCGGUGCACAAGGAUGAACCAUUCCUAAGGGCUCCGGUUUCGUUGCAUAACGCUGCCAAGCCCACCAACCGAGCUCAGCAAACCGGCAUGUGCUGUGGGAUUUGGUCCUGAAGAUGCAACAAAGGGACAGUAGCAGCACAGAUGGAAAGAUGAACUGGAAACUGGAGUAUGAUCCUCUUAAUCCCAUACAGGGAUGCUUGGCCACAGGAAGGUGAAACCUGGAGGACACAAAGACCCUGGUGUUGCUGAGGAAAAAAAUGUCACAUGGACAACAGGGGAAUACAUGAAUUUAUGUCAUGACUCUUCCCCACAGUAUCCGAGCACCUUCCAUCCAAGACAUGAAGCGUGCCAUAAAUUAAUAAAUUUCGGCAGAGCAGGUGUUAUCUGCAUUUCACAGAUGGGUGAAACAGGGCAGAGAGAGGCAACACCACUGGUUUGCUCUUAUACAGCUAGUCAGAGGCAGACCUGGGAACAGAACAAGGAUUAUUAGAAAAUACUUUCAUUGCCAUCGCACCCAGAGGCCCCAGUCCACUUGGGGCCCCCAUGGUACUGUAUGCUGUAAACACACAAGAUGACACAAUCCAAAGCCUGUGCUUUUGCCGUGAGAACAUGUUCCUCCCCACCUCCACUCCCCAGAGUGCCUUGGAAAAGAGACCCUAGUUGUAUAGGGCAGAAAAGAUGAGUUAUCCCUUAUUCUUUAAAAAAAGUCACAGAAUCUUUACCUCCUACCAGAGGUGCUAAAUUAACAUCCCAUCUCAGCAGCUCAUCUAAAGAGCAGCACCCUCCACUGGCAGACGCCAUAAACUCAGUGUCCUUGUCAGUCUUGGGUAGGUGCCCAACUCCUAGAGUCAAUCAUGAAUACUUCUGGCUCUGAUGAAGGAGGCCCUCUUCAGGGCAGACCUGGCAUUACAAAUUCUGGCCCUUCCAUAGUGGUGAUUAAACGUUACUGCUCCAUAUAGAGGAUAAAGCCUCAUACCAAUAUUGAACCUAUAAAGUACAUAUCACAGUGAGACAGACUAUAUGCCUAUAUUCAUCCUUUUUACAAAUCCACGAUAAAUUUUGUACAAAGCAUGCCUUCUGAGGUAUCCUCUGAAAACUCCAUCUGCUGAACAUUAUUA
Molecule: long non-coding RNA, 3873 nt
Organism: Dermochelys coriacea (leatherback sea turtle)
Lineage: Eukaryota; Metazoa; Chordata; Testudines; Dermochelyidae
Exons: 3
Source: RefSeq, a predicted model, not a curated record